GGGAGUACGGCCGCAAGGUUAAAACUCAAAGGAAUUGACGGGGACCCGCACAAGCGGUGGAUUAUGUGGAUUAAUUCGAUGCAACGCGAAAAACCUUACCUACCCUUGACAUGUCCAGAAGCCUGAAGAGAUUUGGGUGUGCCCGAAAGGGAACUGGAACACAGGUGCUGCAUGGCUGUCGUCAGCUCGUGUCGUGAGAUGUUGGGUUAAGUCCCGCAACGAGCGCAACCCUUGUCGUUAAUUGCCAUCAUUUAGUUGGGCACUUUAACGAGACUGCCGGUGACAAACCGGAGGAAGGUGGGGAUGACGUCAAGUCCUCAUGGCCCUUAUGGGUAGGGCUUCACACGUCAUACAAUGGUCGGUACAGGGGGUCGCUAACCCGCGAGGGGGUGCCAAUCUCACAAAACCGAUCGUAGUCCGGAUUGCACUCUGCAACUCGAGUGCAUGAAGUCGGAAUCGCUAGUAAUCGCGGAUCAGCAUGUCGCGGUGAAUACGUUCCCGGGCCUUGUACACACCGCCCGUCACACCAUGGGAGUGGGUUUCACCAGAAGUAGGUAGGCUAACCGCAAGGAGGCCGCUUACCACGGUGGGAUUCAUGACUGGGGUG
RNAcentral lists this ribosomal RNA (607 nucleotides) under uncultured bacterium. RNAcentral describes it as "bacterial SSU rRNA". It matches the Rfam family "Bacterial small subunit ribosomal RNA", at positions 876 to 1482 of the family's 1533-position model. The record is from RNAcentral.